GAUGAACGCUGGCGGCGUGCCUAAUACAUGCAAGUCGAGCGAACAGACGAGUAUCUUGCUCCUCUGACUUUAGCGUCGGACGUGUUAUUAACACGUGUAUAACCUACCUAUAUUACUGGUAUAACUUCGUGAAACCGUAUCUAAUACCGGCUAAUAUUUUGAACCUCAUUGUUCAUUAGUUUAUGACGUUUUUGCUGUCUCUUAUAGAUUGAUCCUCUCCGCAUUAUCUAGUUGGUAAGGUAACGGCUUACCAAGGCAACGAUGCGUAUCCGACCUGAGAGGGUGAUCGGCAACACUGGAACUGAGAAACGGAAAAGAGGACGAGGGGAGGAAGCAGAAGGGAAUCUUACGCAAUGGGCGAAAGCCUGACGGAGAAAAGCCGAGUGAGAGAUGAAGGUCUUCGGAUCGUAAAAAGAUGUUAUUAGGGAAGAACAAAUGUGUAAGUAAAUAUGCACGGAUUGACGGUAACUAAUCAGAAAGCCACGGCUAACUACGUG
Molecule: ribosomal RNA, 497 nt
Filed under: uncultured bacterium
Lineage: Bacteria
Description: partial 16S ribosomal RNA
Rfam family: Bacterial small subunit ribosomal RNA
Source: RNAcentral